CUAUUGCCUGCAGUUCUAUCGUUUAUGUAACAUAUUUUUUUCUAUUGCCAGAGGAACUCGUGUGGAUAUAUAAAUACAUAUCUAAUGGAAUUUCAUUGUGUUCUUUCAUGUAUAUAGAUAUUAUUAACUGAUAUCGUUGAAAUUAAUUAAAAUUCAGUUUAACAUAGAAAUGCGAAGAAAUUGAUAUAGAAAAAUGAGUUUUUUAUAAUCAGUCAUAAAAUAGUCAUCAGAAUGAAAUUAUUCGAGGUGUAAAGAAAUGAUAAGAAUACCCUCUUGAUUCUAUCAGAAUGUGAUUGGUGUCAAUAAGGGAUAAAAUUUACAUGGAAAUAAUUCACGUUUCGACGAACAUAAAAGAAGAAUCAUUGUUCUGGAAGUUUUACCUUUUUUCGGAAUGUUUUUCUCCACAUUUUUGUUGACCGUGAUACUCGUCACGUAUUCAAAAAUACCAUCACCUGCUUAUUUUCCUAGUUUUGGUUUCCUUCGUUUCUUUCUAUCGAAUGUUCUCAAGGACGGGAGGAGAGGAACGAGAGUGAAGUAGAAGGGUCAUGAAUGAGAGAUAUCUAAUGCCAAUUCAGCAAUUACCAUGGGCAUUGAACACACGUGCCUGUUGCAACGUUCGUGACGCUGACUGUUGCAUCAAAAUGAUGACAUAUCAGUAGAUGUCGGGGAUAGACUUGUUUUUUUCUCGGAAGAGAUCAUUGGAGAUUUUUCAAUACGCAAUUCACGAGGAGGAGCACGGCGGAUAUAAAAAAUAGAUGUGAAUGAGAGAAACUGAUGAUUGAUUCGUUAAUAACUUUUUUUUUCACGUUCGGAACAUUUUCGAUGGCAGAGAAAAGAUGCUGCCGGCACAGCUAACGGCGUUUGGAACUUUAGUGCGACCAACGGAGUGGUAAUUUUCUCCUCUUUCUGUCUGAAUAUCUUCUUGAAUGAACAGACACUAGAACAAAGGACGUCAGGCACCAGUCACUCGUGCCGACAAGUGAGGAGAAGUAUUCCGCGGAAAAGUGAAUUUUUCAGUCGACCACAUCAGAGAAAACUCGAACUCCUGGAAGGAUGAGAGUUCUCACUUUUCAUCAUCUUGAAAGCCGUCCAAUGAAGCCGAAAAUUCCCUGAAGUGAGUGAAAUUUGGAAGAACAACCGGGAAAAUCCUCUCUCCUCGAUUGAAUUUCACAGCGAGGCUUUGAAGGGUAUCUAAGGAUCAUCUACAAUUCGUUGCAUAUGAUGCUAUACAACAUAGGUUUUCAAUUAUAGAAGUAAUAUGAAAUCGAAAGAUUGAAAUAGCUAAUAUGCAAUUCAUUCACAUGGCCUAAAGAACAAUAAUAUCAGGGCAAAUAAAUUAAAAUAAAUAAUCAAAAUAUAAACGUGAAAAUUAUGACUCUGAAGAAUUGAAUUCUAUUAAGUUGUAUUUUGAAAAUAAGCCAAGACCGGGUGGCUUAUCACCGGCUUCUGAUUAUUACGAGAAUAUUCAAAUAAAACUGGUGUAAUCCUUAAA
Diachasmimorpha longicaudata is the source of this 1492-nucleotide long non-coding RNA. RefSeq lists it as uncharacterized. The record is from RefSeq and is a predicted model, not a curated record. Lineage: Eukaryota; Metazoa; Arthropoda; Insecta; Hymenoptera; Braconidae. The transcript has 2 exons.